UAGUGGAGUGCUUCCCAUGUGGUAUUGGUGUGCUGGAUAUCCCUUCACUGGUAGCCUGGUAACAUACACUCCCAGGUCUUUCUCUGCCUCUGUGGUGGAUAGUGGAGUGUUUCCCAUGUGGUAUUGGUGUGCUGGAUAUCCCUUCACUGGUAGCCUGGUAACAUACACUCCCAGGUCUUUCUCUGCCUCUGUGGUGGAUAGUGGAGUGUUUCCCAUGUGGUAUUGGUGUGCUGGAUAUCCCUUCACUGGUAGCCUGGUAACAUACACUCCCAGGUCUGUCUCUGCCUCUGUGGUGGAUAGUGGAGUGUUUCCCAUGUGGUAUUGGUGUGCUGGAUAUCCCUUCACUGGUAGCCUGGUAACACACUCCCAGGUCUUUCUCUGCCUCUGUGGUGGAUAGUGGAGUGUUUCCCAUGUGGUAUUGGUGUGCUGGAUAUCCCUUCACUGGUAGCCUGGUAACAUACACUCCCAGGUCUUUCUCUGCCUCUGUGGUGGAUAGUGGAGUGUUUCCCAUGUGGUAUUGGUGUGCUGGAUAUCCCUUCACUGGUAGCCUGGUAACAUACACUCCCAGGUCUUUGUCUGCCUCUGUGGUGGAUAGUGGAGUGUUUCCCAUGUGGUAUUGGUGUGCUGGAUAUCCCUUCACUGGUAGCCUGGUAACAUACACUCCCAGGUCCUUCUCUGCCUCUGUGGUGGAUAGUGGAGUGUUUCCCAUGUGGUAUUGGUGUGCUGGAUAUCCCUUCACUGGUAGCCUGGUAACAUACACUCCCAGGUCUUUCUCC
Long non-coding RNA from Eriocheir sinensis (Chinese mitten crab), 776 nucleotides. RefSeq lists it as uncharacterized. The record is from RefSeq and is a predicted model, not a curated record. The transcript is spliced from 3 exons. Lineage: Eukaryota; Metazoa; Arthropoda; Malacostraca; Decapoda; Varunidae.